UACAGAGGUCUCAAGCGUUGUUCGGAUUCAUUGGGCGUAAAGGGUGCGUAGGCGGCGCGGUAAGUCGGGUGUGAAAUCUCGGAGCUUAACUCCGAAACUGCAUUCGAUACUGCCGUGCUUGAGGACUGGAGAGGAGACUGGGAUUUACGGUGUAGCGGUGAAAUGCGUAGAUAUCGUAAGGAAGACCAGUGGCGAAGGCGGGUCUCUGGACAGUUCCUGACGCUGAGGCACGAAGGCCAGGGGAGCAAACGGG
RNAcentral lists this ribosomal RNA (253 nucleotides) under uncultured bacterium. RNAcentral's name for it is "partial 16S ribosomal RNA". It matches the Rfam family "Bacterial small subunit ribosomal RNA", at positions 524 to 776 of the family's 1533-position model. The record is from RNAcentral.